This 1492-nucleotide ribosomal RNA is filed under the name Akkermansia muciniphila. RNAcentral's name for it is "bacterial LSU rRNA". It matches the Rfam family "Bacterial large subunit ribosomal RNA", at positions 434 to 1940 of the family's 2925-position model. The record is from RNAcentral. Lineage: Bacteria; Pseudomonadati; Verrucomicrobiota; Verrucomicrobiia; Verrucomicrobiales; Akkermansiaceae.
CUGUCUGAAUCUGCCGGGACCAUCCGGUAAGGCUAAAUACUAACCAGACACCGAUAGUGAACUAGUACCGUGAGGGAAAGGUGAAAAGAACCCCGGGAGGGGAGUGAAAUAGAUUCUGAAACUACUUACUUACAAUUAGUCAGAGCACGUUAAUGUGUGAUGGCGUACAUCUUGCAGUAUGGACCGGCGAGUUAUGUUAACAUGCGAGGUUAAGUGGAUAAAAGCGGAGCCGAAGAGAAAUCGAGUCUGAAUAGGGCGAAUUAGUAUGUUGACAUAGACCCGAAACCAGGUGAUCUAUUCAUGAGCAGGUUGAAGCUUAGGUAAUACUAAGUGGAGGACCGAACCGUAGUACGCUGAAAAGUGCCCGGAUGACUUGUGAAUAGCGGUGAAAUUCCAAUCGAACCUGGAUAUAGCUGGUUCUCCUCGAAAUAGCUUUAGGGCUAGCGUGUGAUGUUAAACUUUGGUGGUAGAGCACUGAAUAUGGAAUGGCGGCGCCUAGCUGUACUGACUAUAAUCAAACUCCGAAUACCAUUGUGUAUUAUCAUGCAGUCGGAACAUCGGUGAUAACGUCGAUGCUCGCGAGGGUAACAACCCAGAUCGUCAGCUAAGGUCCCAAAAUUUAUGUUAAGUGAUAAAGGUUGUGAGGUUUCUCAAACAACUAGGAAGUUGGCUUAGAAGCAGCCAUCUUUUAAAGAGUGCGUAAUAGCUCACUAGUCAAGAGACCUUGCGCCGACAAUGUAACGGGACUAAACAUAAUACCGAAGCUACGGGCAUUAUUAAAUGCGUUAGAGGAGCGUUCUAAGGACGGCGAAGCUAAACCGUGAGGAUUAGUGGAGUGCUUAGAAGUGAGAAUGCCGGUAUGAGUAACGAUUCAGAGUGAGAAUCUCUGACGCCUAUUGGGAAAGGUUUCCUGGGGAAGGUUCGUCCACCCAGGGUUAGUCGGGUCCUAAGAUCAGGCUGAAAAGCGUAGUCGAUGGAUAACAGGUUAAUAUUCCUGUACUUCCGAUAGUAAGUGAUGGAGUGACGGAGAAGGAUAAUUCUACCAAUUAAUGGAUUUUGGGGCAAGGAAAUGAGGGGUCAAUGUAGGCAAAUCCGCAUUGUUUAACCUUGAGUUCUGAUGCAUAGGGAAAGUUUCGACAAUUACCGAAUUGAAUGAUUUCACGCUUCCAAGAAAAGCUUCUAAACGUUAUAAAACUAUAGGAACCCGUACCGAGAACGGACACACGUUCCCAAGAUGAGUAUUCUAAGGCGAGCGAGAAAACCAAUGUUAAGGAACUCUGCAAAUUCACCCCGUAAGUUCGCGAGAAGGGGGGCCAUUCUUUGAAUGGCAACAUUAAAUUGUGAGGGGCAACUGUUUAUCAAAAACACAGCUCUCUGCUAAGUCGCAAGACGAUGUAUAGGGGGUGAAGUCUGCCCAGUGCCCGAAGGUUAAGUGGAGCUGUUAGCUUACGCAAAGCAGCAAAAUGAAGCCCGGGUGAACGGCGGCUGUAAC